UGGGGAAUAUUGCACAAUGGGCGCAAGCCUGAUGCAGCCAUGCCGCGUGUGUGAAGAAGGCCUUCGGGUUGUAAAGCACUUUCAGCGAGGAGGAAGGUGGUGAGCUUAAUACGCUCAUCAAUUGACGUUACUCGCAGAAGAAGCACCGGCUAACUCCGUGCCAGCAGCCGCGGUAAUACGGAGGGUGCAAGCGUUAAUCGGAAUUACUGGGCGUAAAGCGCACGCAGGCGGUUUGUUAAGUCAGAUGUGAAAUCCCCGGGCUCAACCCGGGAACUGCAUUUGAAACUGGCAAGCUAGAGUCUCGUAGAGGGGGGUAGAAUUCCAGGUGUAGCGGUGAAAUGCGUAGAGAUCUGGAGGAAUACCGGUGGCGAAGGCGGCCCCCUGGACGAAGACUGACGCUCAGGUGCGAAAGCGUGGGGCAGCAAACAGGAUUAGAUACCCUGGUAGUCCAGCGCUGUAAACGAUGUCGAUUUGGAGGUUGUGCCCUUGAGGCGUGGCUUCCGGAGCUAACGCGUUAAAUCGACCGCCUGGGGAGUACGGCCGCAAGGUUAAAACUCAAAUGAAUUGAC
Molecule: ribosomal RNA, 569 nt
Filed under: uncultured bacterium
Lineage: Bacteria
Description: partial 16S ribosomal RNA
Rfam family: Bacterial small subunit ribosomal RNA
Source: RNAcentral